GACGGAGGAUGCAAGUGUUAUCCGGAAUCACUGGGCGUAAAGCGUCUGUAGGUGGUUCGAAAAGUCCACUGUUAAAAAUUGAGGCUUAACUUCAAAGAUGCCGUGGAAACUUUCAAACUAGAGUAUGGUAGGGGUAGAGGGAAUUUCCAGUGGAGCGGUGAAAUGCGUAGAUAUUGGAAAGACCACCGAUGGCGAAGGCACUCUACUGGGCCAUUACUGACACUGAGAGACGAAAGCUAGGGGAGCAAAUGGGA
RNAcentral lists this ribosomal RNA (254 nucleotides) under uncultured bacterium. Its description in RNAcentral is "partial 16S ribosomal RNA". It matches the Rfam family "Bacterial small subunit ribosomal RNA", at positions 524 to 777 of the family's 1533-position model. The record is from RNAcentral.